Molecule: ribosomal RNA, 231 nt
Filed under: uncultured bacterium
Lineage: Bacteria
Description: partial 16S ribosomal RNA
Rfam family: Bacterial small subunit ribosomal RNA
Source: RNAcentral
CGGGUGAGUAACGCGUGGGUAACCUGCCUUGUACUGGGGGACAACAGUUAGAAAUGACUGCUAAUACCGCAUAAGCGCACAGUAUCGCAUGAUACAGUGUGAAAAACUCCGGUGGUACAAGAUGGACCCGCGUCUGAUUAGCUAGUUGGUGGGGUAACGGCCUACCAAGCCGACGAUCAGUAGCCGACCUGAGAGGGUGACCGGCCACAUUGGGACUGAGACACGGCCCAG